RNAcentral lists this ribosomal RNA (438 nucleotides) under Triticum aestivum (bread wheat). Its description in RNAcentral is "partial small subunit ribosomal RNA". The record is from RNAcentral. Lineage: Eukaryota; Viridiplantae; Streptophyta; Magnoliopsida; Poales; Poaceae.
AUGGGCGUCGUCAAGGAAAUGACGCCUGUGGCCCUCUGCGUGCUAGGUGUCAUGUUCCUCGUCGGGAUGGCGGACAUGAGCGGUCUCCCCGGCUGCGGAAGACCGACGAGGAUGGAUCUCCAGGAGCUCGCGGCCCAGGUGCGCACCACCCUCGUGGGCACCGCCUCCUCGGCCGCCGGGAUACUCAUCUGGGUCGGCAAGGUGGCCGACGACCUGAGCGCCGCUGGGUGGGACUGGGAGAUGCGCGCGAUGUUCAUCGUCGGCGUCAACCUCUCCCUCGCCUCGUCGUUCCUCGCCCUCUCCGCCCUCGUCUUGGAGCUCUCCUGCGACCCCGUCGUCAACUACUGCAUCGCCGCGGGGCUCAUCGGCGUGCAUCUCGUAGCCGCGUGGGCGGUCCGUGGUCGUCUCCGAGCACUGAGGCUUCGUCGAGCAACCUAG